RNAcentral lists this ribosomal RNA (497 nucleotides) under uncultured bacterium. Its description in RNAcentral is "partial 16S ribosomal RNA". It matches the Rfam family "Bacterial small subunit ribosomal RNA", at positions 28 to 507 of the family's 1533-position model. The record is from RNAcentral.
GAUGAACGCUGGCGGCGUGCCUAAUACAUGCAAGUCGAGCGAACAGACGAGGAGCUUGCUCCUUUGACGUUAGCGGCGGACGGGUGAGUAACACGUGGGUAACCUACCUAUAAGACUGGGAUAACUUCGGGAAACCGGAGCUAAUACCGGAUAAUAUUUCGAACCGCAUGGUUCGAUAGUGAAAGAUGGCUCUGCUAUCACUUAUAGAUGGACCUGCGCCGUAUUAGCUAGUUGGUAAGGUAACGGCUUACCAAGGCAACGAUACGUAGCCGACGUGAGAGGGUGAUCGGCCACACUGGAACUGAGACACGGUCCAGACUCCUACGGGAGGCAGCAGUAGGGAAUCUUCCGCAAUGGGCGAAAGCCUGACGGAGCAACGCCGCGUGAGUGAUGAAGGUCUUCGGAUCGUAAAACUCUGUUAUUAGGGAAGAACAAACGUGUAAGUAACUGUGCACGUCUUGACGGUACCUAAUCAGAAAGCCACGGCUAACUACGUG